Molecule: ribosomal RNA, 253 nt
Filed under: uncultured bacterium
Lineage: Bacteria
Description: partial 16S ribosomal RNA
Rfam family: Bacterial small subunit ribosomal RNA
Source: RNAcentral
UACGUAGGGGGCAAGCGUUGUCCGGAAUCAUUGGGCGUAAAGAGCGUGUAGGCGGUUCGGUAAGUCGGCUGUGAAAGUCCAGGGCUCAACCCUGGGAUGCCGGUCGAUACUGCCGGACUAGAGUUCGGAAGAGGCGAGUGGAAUUCCCGGUGUAGCGGUGAAAUGCGCAGAUAUCGGGAGGAACACCUAUGGCGAAGGCAGCUCGCUGGGACGUUACCGACGCUGAGACGCGAAAGCGUGGGGAGCAAACAGG